This 253-nucleotide ribosomal RNA is filed under the name uncultured prokaryote. RNAcentral describes it as "partial 16S ribosomal RNA". It matches the Rfam family "Bacterial small subunit ribosomal RNA", at positions 524 to 776 of the family's 1533-position model. The record is from RNAcentral.
UACGUAGGGUGCGAGCGUUAAUCGGAAUUACUGGGCGUAAAGCGUGCGCAGGCGGUUUUGUAAGACAGGCGUGAAAUCCCCGGGCUCAACCUGGGAACUGCGCUUGUGACUGCAAGGCUAGAGUACGGCAGAGGGGGGUGGAAUUCCACGUGUAGCAGUGAAAUGCGUAGAGAUGUGGAGGAACACCGGUGGCGAAGGCGGCAUCCUGGACCGGUAUUGACGCUGAGGCGCGAAAGCCAGGGGAGCAAACGGG